RNAcentral lists this ribosomal RNA (402 nucleotides) under uncultured bacterium. RNAcentral describes it as "bacterial SSU rRNA". It matches the Rfam family "Bacterial small subunit ribosomal RNA", at positions 355 to 774 of the family's 1533-position model. The record is from RNAcentral.
UCGGGAAUUUUGGGCAAUGGGCGAAAGCCUGACCCAGCAACGCCGCGUGAGGGAUGAAGUAUUUCGGUAUGUAAACCUCGAAAGAAUGGGAAGAAUAAAUGACGGUACCAUUUAUAAGCUCCGGCUAACUACGUGCCAGCAGCCGCGGUAAUACGUAGGGAGCAAGCGUUGUUCGGAUUUACUGGGCGUAAAGGGCGCGUAGGCGGCGCGGUAAGUCACUUGUGAAAUCUCUGAGCUUAACUCAGAACGGCCAAGUGAUACUGCUGUGCUAGAGUGCGAAAGAGGCAACCGGAAUUCUUGGUGUAGCGGUGAAAUGCGUAGAUAUCAAGAGGAACACCUGAGGCGAAGGCGGGUUGCUGGGCCGACACUGACGCUGAUGCGCGAAAGCCAGGGGAGCAAACG